RNAcentral lists this ribosomal RNA (497 nucleotides) under uncultured bacterium. RNAcentral describes it as "partial 16S ribosomal RNA". It matches the Rfam family "Bacterial small subunit ribosomal RNA", at positions 28 to 507 of the family's 1533-position model. The record is from RNAcentral.
GAUGAACGCUGGCGGCGUGCCUAAUACAUGCAAGUCGAGCGAACGGACGAGAAGUUUGCUUUUCUGAUGUUAGCGGCGGACGGGUGAGUAACACGUGGAUAACCUACCUAUAAGACUGGGAUAACUUCGGGAAACCGGAGCUAAUACCGGAUAAUAUUUUGAACCGCAUGGUUCAAAAGUGAAAGACGGUCUUGCUGUCACUUAUAGAUGGAUCCGCGCUGCAUUAGCUAGUUGGUAAGGUAACGGCUUACCAAGGCAACGAUGCAUAGCCGACCUGAGAGGGUGAUCGGCCACACUGGAACUGGAACACGGUCCAGACUCCUACGGGAGGCAGCAGUAGGGAAUCUUCCGCAAUGGGCGAAAGCCUGACGGAGCAACGCCGCGUGAGUGAUGCAGGUCUUCGGAUCGUAAAACUCUGUUAUUAGGGAAGAACAUAUGUGUAAGUAACUGUGCACAUCUUGACGGUACCUAAUCAGAAAGCCACGGCUAACUACGUG